Solanum tuberosum (potato) is the source of this 88-nucleotide non-coding RNA. The record is from RefSeq and is marked provisional. Lineage: Eukaryota; Viridiplantae; Streptophyta; Magnoliopsida; Solanales; Solanaceae.
AUAUAUUAAUUAUCGUUUUGAUUUAUUAAAAGGUGAGAUUCUGAGAUGGGUCAAUAUUCCUGGUAAGUUGGAUGAUAAUAAUAUAUAU